RNAcentral lists this ribosomal RNA (253 nucleotides) under uncultured bacterium. Its description in RNAcentral is "partial 16S ribosomal RNA". It matches the Rfam family "Bacterial small subunit ribosomal RNA", at positions 524 to 776 of the family's 1533-position model. The record is from RNAcentral.
UACGUAGGGUGCGAGCGUUGUCCGGAAUUAUUGGGCGUAAAGAGCUCGUAGGCGGUCUGUCGCGUCUGCUGUGAAAACCCGAGGCUCAACCUCGGGCCUGCAGUGGGUACGGGCAGACUAGAGUGCGGUAGGGGAGAAUGGAACUCCUGGUGUAGCGGUGGAAUGCGCAGAUAUCAGGAAGAACACCAAUGGCGAAGGCAGCUUGCUGGGACGGUACUGACGCUGAGGCGCGAAAGCGUGGGGAGCAAACAGG